Centropristis striata (black sea bass) is the source of this 4457-nucleotide RNA transcript. It is a transcript of the gene named RNA-binding protein 4.1-like, with no coding region annotated. The transcript is spliced from 6 exons. The record is from RefSeq and is a predicted model, not a curated record. NCBI's taxonomy places the organism in Eukaryota, Metazoa, Chordata, Actinopteri, Perciformes, Serranidae.
AUUGCUACUUGUGCGCCUGUAGCGAGCCGGUUUCACGUCAUCAUCUGGUUCUUGUCUGUGGAGUUUGGACCUCGUUGUGGCGCCUCAAAAGAUUCACAAGCUAGAAGAACACUGGUGCAACAAUGGUGAAGAUCUUCAUUGGGAACCUGUCUCAGCACACUGGGAAGGAUGAAAUUGAAGCUCUCUUUACCAAAUAUGGUGCAGUAACAGAAUGUGCCAAGUUCCAAAACUAUGCUUUUGUCCAUAUGGAAGACCGUAAGUCGGCUACCAAAGCCAUCCGUGAGCUCCAUCUACAUAAGCUGGAUGGCAGGCCCAUCAAUGUGGAGCCCAGCAGGGGCAAAAACCAGGGCCCUGUGAAGCUCCACAUAGCCAAUGUAGAAAAGGGCUACGAUGACGAGCUCCGUGGUCUCUUUGAAGAGUAUGGCACAGUCACAGAGUGCGCCAUUGUCAAGAACUUUGCCUUCGUACACAUGAACAACUCAGAUGAGGCCAUGGAUGCCAUAAAGGGCCUGGAUAACACAGAGUUUCAAGGAAAGCGCAUACAUGUCCAGAUAUCAAAAAGCAGACCCAGAGGGGAGCAGGAGGAGGAUGACUAUCCACCUCCACCAGGCAGAGGAGGCUAUGGGUAUCCUCCUCGAUACCCAGGCGACAGGCCUGAGCCUCCCUACAGAGGGCGCAUGUCUGCUUACGCUCCCCCGCCUCUGCCACCACCUCCACCACCACCUCCCCCAAGACGACCAGCUUAUCUCGACCAUCUGGACCGCGGCUAUGGUGAGCGAGACCCCUAUGGGAUGGUCGACUACUACGAGAAAUACAGAGCCCGUCCUUACGCCGCAGCAGGCUACAGUGACAGGCGUUCCAGCGCACCCAUCCCCCCUCCGCCUCCUCCCUCUGCGAUGGUGAGAGAACGUCUUCUCGACCCGUACGAGCGGCGCUCACUCCCCCCGCCUCCUCCGUCCUACAUGACCAGGGACCGAAGCCCCAUCAGACGAGCCCCCCCUCCUCCCGCUCCAUCAGCUGGUAACGGGUACUCCUACGAGCGGUCCCGGCUCUCCCCGGUGUCCAGGGCUCCAAUGUAUCCAGCUCCCAGACCGAGGGACGCCUUCCAAGACAGAGGGCAACUGCCACCGCCACCAUCUCGAUAUGCAGGCUAUUAGGCACACAAGUGUGAUUCAAGGUUUAGAAUAUGACGAUCGUCGUUGUCUGCUGAUGUACGUGGCGCUAUACAUCCCCCUCGUCUAUGGCGGAUUGCGUUGCGUUCGCCUGAGACUUACUGGAAGAUACCGUAUUGCAGACAGCCUCGUACUAAAAACCUAUGAUUCCAUGUCUACAGUUCACGUAUUCUUCUGAGCUGUUUAUGCCUUUUCUGUUUCUCUGCUUGUUUUACUGUUCAAAUCCUUCAAAUGUUUUGCAGAAUAGGAUGCUGGCUUAGGUGCUUAGUCUAUUUCAGUGUGACGCAGUACUGUUCAUGGCCAAAAUCAAUCUGUCCUUCAAGCUUUCUAAAUGGCCUCCGGGAAACUGUGACAUAAUUUCACAGCAAGGGAACUCUUUUUAAGUGGAAAAAAUAGUCUUUGUAAACAAAAUUAUUCAGCUAAGACUAAGGGUUUUGGUUAAUCACAAAAUGCUUAUCUAAAAAUUAAUGACAAAAUUCAGUGUAGGGGUGCUUUAUCGUAAUACAUGGUUUGGCAUGUUGUAAAGUAAUCUCUAAAAUUUGCGACACAUGUUAGCAUGGCAAAUCAAAAGUUCCAGUGUGGUUUUGUUCUUUUUAAAGUUUGUGUUAUCUUUUUUGCGAACAUAGAAUCUAUAGCACCAUUAUGUAUGAUUUUAUUUACUUUAUAAGUUGCUUUUCAUUUGAAGGCUUUUUAAUAAACAAAUCAAACCAGAAACUACGUUUUAACUGUCGUAUUAUUCCUCGUGGGGUAGGUCUUUCAGUCUGAUGACUCGACAGUCAAACGGCUGGGUGUUACUAAAUAUAUCUGGUGUGGUGAAUAGUGGUUUACGCUUAACAGGCUACAGUUUAAUUCUUCACACCCUUUAGAGUUAUCUGCUUGACACAUGGUAGGCGUAUCGCUGGCCCUGUUUAGUUCUGGUGUAAAUGCAGGGAAACGCGAGACAUUAACUCCAAUCCAACCUGCUUCCAUUAAAUAUUGCGCUGAUUCACAUGAGCGUAUGGCUGUCUGACAUGAUAAAGGUCAUUGUCAUAUUUGACUAUGUAGCAUGGUGUGCAUAUAUGAAAUAACGACAUGAUAGAGUCUGUUUUUGUGUAAUCAAGACCCUCCAUGGUUUGCUGAGCAACCCAUCUUGUGAUAUGAAGCAGGAAACUUAAUUCUUAAGUUUGACUCGGCGGUUUUGACAGAUUGAUUUCUUUUGUUUCUUACUCAAACUCAAACUAGAGCUCUAAUGAAUAGUUGAACAUUUCAAAGCCCUGUUAAAGACAUUUACAUUCAAAUCUAAUGCUCUUCAGCUUUUUUCUUUUAUGCAUUCUGUUUAAACCUGGUAUUCUCAACAGUUGCAGAAAAAGAUUAGGCUGUGCGAUUACUCUACCUUUUUUUUACAGAAGUAGAUUCUCAUUGAUUCUGCAUAGGUUUGUUCCAACUCGUGUGGUCCAAACAUUUUAAAUAACUCCAUAUUUUGUAAAGUCAAAAUGUAUUAAAAUAAUUGAAUUAAUGUUUUUUGGCAUUUAGCUUUGCAAAACUUGUACAACAGUCACAAUAGGCACGUACCAGUAUUAACAGGGUGGUCUAGCAACACUAUAUAUAUAUUUCUAAACAAUGGCCAUUUAUUCCAAGGAAUUAUUUUAUCUAAAUUGAGGAUUUUGUUCAAUGUUUUUUCCCACCAUUAUUUUGCCUGGGGCUGUGAUGAUAUCAGAAAAUAUGAAGCUUCAUUCAAAAACCUCAACAAAAUUUCAGAAUAAGGGGAAAAAAAUGCAUGAAAUGUCUUCAAACUGCCUGUCUGUUUUGCCCCUGGCGCAGAGGGAGCGGAGCCUUUCCUCGCUGAAUGUAUCUAUCGCCUACCUUGUGUCAAGCAAUUUCCCAGAAGCAGAACAAUAACUGAGCUUUGCGGUGGCCCACAUCUCUGUCGACUUGCGACAAUUGUUCUUUAUCUUGAUUUGCAUUCUUCAUUUCUGUCAUUAAGUUCACACUUCAUAAUAGUCACACUUUAAAUUAAUGUGUUUACCAUAAACUUGUAUGACUUUAUAUGUAUAGUACAAAUUGCAUGCUGUCCUGGUAUUCUUAGUUUCUGUGCUCUUUGUAGGUUGUUAGACUCUAUGCAGGAGAUGCCAGCUCAUGGUAAGUCGUCCUUGGAGGAUAGGCAGUAUCCAGGACAGAAGAGUCUGUCUCUGCUCUGGCAGCUGUAAAGACUCAUGGAGUUUCAGAACAUAAUGAGCUGGGGAGAGAUGGGAUCAGACAGCCCUGUAGUUAAAGGAAGCGGAUUUUGUCCUUCGGUGAAGAGUUUGGUCGGUUGGUUGGUGUGGUGGAGGGAACUUCCUGUCCUCGGAACGUAUUCCAUCUUUGUUCUCUGUAACUGAUGACAGCGAAAUAAUGAGUUUCCUAGAGGAAAAUUAAUUCAAUCAUUCAUCAGUCCUACAGAUCACAAUUUGGACUGGUUCUUACUGACUUAAGACAUAUCUUAGAUUUGUGGCUGGUGGUGGCAAAUGUGUUGAAAUUCUGUAAACGGUGCUAAUGGGGAGUCGAUGAGGAACCUUUGUCUCGGUGGACACGAUUCAACAGUAAUGCAUUUUUAAUCAAAGUCUGUGUCCGGAGAAGUUAUCUGUGAAGGGAAGGGUCAAACUCUGGACUUCCACACAGCAGAACGCUGUUCGUGUUCCAUAUAAAUACAAGUCAGCGUGUGCUUAUUUGAACAUUUUUCUUUCCUUUUUAAAAAAAAAUAUUUUGUAACAAAUGUACUGAUUUUAACCAAAACCUUUUCCUUAAGCUAACAAGUAGUUUCUAUUGUGGCGGCACAUAAUGCUGUGUUACAGCAAUGAGGGAAAUGUUUACUUAACUUUAUAUCAUGGUCAUUGUUAAGUUUUUCACAAAAUUCUUCAUGUUUUGCUAUUAUCUUGACCGUUAGCUAUUUUUGAUCCUAAAACUACAGUCAUGUAAAAAAUUAUUAGACCAUUGUUUUCUUCAAUUUCUUGUUCAUUUUAAUGCCUGGUACAACUAAAGGUACAUUUGUUUGGACAAAUAUAACAAAAAAGCUCAUAAGAGCAUAAUUUAAGAGCUGAUAUCUAGCCAUUUUCUUUAAUUAUUUGGUUAUUAAACAAAAGGCAUUAAAAUGAACAAGAAAUUGAAGAAAAUCAAGGGUGGUCUAACAAUUUUUCCAUGACUGUAUUUCAUACAAAUCCUUUACAGAGGUAACGCUACAUAUGUAGUUGCAUGCCAUAAAUUCUUAGAUUUUGUAACUGUUUUCAGAAUGAAAGUAAGAUGAUGGUGAAUAAACAAGGUCUGAAAUGA